Molecule: ribosomal RNA, 261 nt
Filed under: uncultured archaeon
Lineage: Archaea
Description: partial 16S ribosomal RNA
Rfam family: Archaeal small subunit ribosomal RNA
Source: RNAcentral
CAGCCGUAAACUAUGCGCGUUAGGUGUACUGGUGACCACGAGUCACCGGGGUGCCGAAGGGAAACCGUGAAACGUGCCGCCUGGGAAGUACGGUCGCAAGGCUGAAACUUAAAGGAAUUGGCGGGGGAGCACCACAACGGGUGGAGCUUGCGGUUUAAUUGGAUUCAACGCCGGAAAUCUUACCGGGACCGACAGCAACAUGAAGGCCAGGCUGAAGACUUUGCCGGAUUAGCUGAGAGGAGGUGCAUGGCGUAGUCGUGU